CCGUCUCAGUUCGGAUUGUUCUCUGCAACUCGAGAGCAUGAAGGCGGAAUCGCUAGUAAUCGCGGAUCAGCAUGCCGCGGUGAAUACGUUCCCAGGCCUUGUACACACCGCCCGUCACACCAUGGGAUUUGGAUUCACCCGAAGGCAGUGCGCUAACCGCAAGGAGGCAGCUGACCACGGUGGGUUUAGAGACUGGGGUGAAGUCGUAACAAGGUAGCCGUAGGGGAACCUGCGGCUGGAUCACCUCCUUUCUAAGGA
This 258-nucleotide ribosomal RNA is filed under the name Sphingomonadaceae bacterium PASS1. RNAcentral's name for it is "partial 16S ribosomal RNA". It matches the Rfam family "Bacterial small subunit ribosomal RNA", at positions 1283 to 1533 of the family's 1533-position model. The record is from RNAcentral. Lineage: Bacteria; Pseudomonadati; Pseudomonadota; Alphaproteobacteria; Sphingomonadales; Sphingomonadaceae.